GGCGUAGGGCGCGAGCGUUGUCCGGAUUUAUUGGGCGUAAAGAGCUCGUAGGCGGUUCGGUAAGUCGGGUGUGAAACCUCCAGGCUCAACCUGGAGACGCCACCUGAUACUGCUGUGACUCGAGUCCGGUAGGGGAGCGUGGAAUUCCUGGUGUAGCGGUGAAAUGCGCAGAUAUCAGGAGGAACACCAGCGGCGAAGGCGGCGCUCUGGGCCGGAACUGACGCUGAGGAGCGAAAGCGUGGGUAGCAAACAGG
This 254-nucleotide ribosomal RNA is filed under the name uncultured bacterium. Its description in RNAcentral is "partial 16S ribosomal RNA". It matches the Rfam family "Bacterial small subunit ribosomal RNA", at positions 524 to 776 of the family's 1533-position model. The record is from RNAcentral.